ACAUACGACCAUAGGGUGUGGAAAACAGGGCUUCCCGUCCGCUCAGCCGUACUUAAGCCACACGCCGGUGAGUUAGUAGUUGGGUGGGUGACCACCAGCGAAUCCUCACUGUUGUAUGUA
Ribosomal RNA from Penicillium expansum, 120 nucleotides. Lineage: Eukaryota; Fungi; Ascomycota; Eurotiomycetes; Eurotiales; Aspergillaceae. The record is from Rfam.